GCUGACACAUCCCAGCCAAUCUCCAGCAGACCCUCCCUCCGAGACCCUCCUACUUCCUGGAUAGCAUCCAUGUUGAAGCUGCCUUCAACAUGGAUGCUGUCCAGGAAGUAGGAGGGUCUGGGAGGGAGGGUCUGCUGGAGAUUGGCCGGGAUGUGUCAG
RNAcentral lists this microRNA precursor (159 nucleotides) under Pelobates cultripes (western spadefoot toad). Lineage: Eukaryota; Metazoa; Chordata; Amphibia; Anura; Pelobatidae. The record is from RNAcentral.